AUUCUCACGUGCUUGUGUUCAAACAUGGUUCGUCUUCUUUCUCCAGUGAGAUGAAGCUAAUGUAUCCUGCCACAUGCUUCAGAAAUACUUAACCUUGUUAUUUGAGAGCCAUGUGUUUUCGUGCGGAGGAUUCCAUUUGGAAUUGUGACUCUGACUGCCUCUAGAACGUGUUGCAUCUGGAAAAUUCACCAAGACUCAAACCAAGACAGAGAAGAACAUGAAUAUGGAAUGAUGAGGAUGUGGCGUAAAUGGAUGUGGACACUGAAGCAGGAUGAACGUCAAGAGGCUCACCCUGGGGUCACAUCCAGCACAGCAGGGAUUAAAAUCCACCGACUUCACAUUUCUAGCCUAUCACUUGCCCUGCCAGCUUACCGUCCACGCUGUCAGGAACAGAAGUCUGGCCGCCUCAUGUGAUUAAGUGUGAAUGUACUCUCUCGCUCCUGAUUCACCAUUCUCAGGGGCAGCAGUGCAGGGAGCCUGGAAUAUGUAUCUGCCUCCAGAGCACACAGAGGGAAACUCACGGGAAAGAGACAGACUCCAGAAGCUGACUUCAAGAUCGGGGGUCACACCUCCUUAAAAACACAGCAGGUCGUGUGAGUUUCCUGUGCUUUGCUUACUUACCAAAUUAUUUACAGAACCUCCGAUUUCC
RNAcentral lists this long non-coding RNA (649 nucleotides) under Callithrix jacchus (white-tufted-ear marmoset). Its description in RNAcentral is "lncRNA (ENSCJAG00000076768.1)". The record is from RNAcentral. Lineage: Eukaryota; Metazoa; Chordata; Mammalia; Primates; Cebidae.